CUUCGCUUUUUCAGCAACCUGAACGACGCGGUGGCCUUUUGCCGUAACAACAGCCUGUGCAAGGGAUUCAACUCCGACGGCUACACAAAGACUCUGGUAGUGCCGACAGCCAGGCGUCCUGGCUUCUGCCUCUGGACAAAGCUCCCUUCUCCCCCAUCGCCACCAUCGCCGCCACCGCGGCCGCCGUCGCCACCUCCACGGCCGCCGUCACCGCGGCCCCCGUCACCUCCACGGCCGCCACCGCGACCGUCGCCGCCUCCGCCUUCUCCGCUGCCGCCGUCACCGCCGUCCCCUCCGCCACCACCGCCCUCACCGUCACCGCCGCCGCCAUCGCCACCGCCGCCGCCACCGCCACCGCUGACGCCUCCGUCAUCGCCUCCGCCGUCUCUACCACCGCCGUCUAUACCCCCGCCGAUGACGCCGGUGACUGAAAAUCCCACCGGUACGGAGUUGGGUUCUUCCCUAAAUCGCUACUCUGUGUAUCACGUACAUGCACACUACACACCUACACAUGUACGCACGCACAUACAUACACAAGGAUUCAUAGCCAUUUAUUUCUUGCUCUGAUGCCGCUGUCGGCUGUCCUCCCGCGUUGUGUGCCUAAACCCUAAAGUACAUCCACCGUGUUCCAUGUUCACGGGUUGAUCGGGGCAGUGCGCGCCCUCCGAUGCGCCCUCAGUCUUAAUCGCCUUCCUGCAAACAUUGAACGCAGAGCACCAAGCGCGAUCCUAAGACCUUCAUUUGUCCGAUUCUGGCAUCGACUGUCGUUUUAUAUUUUGUGCAGGUUGUGUGGCAAUUCCGGGAUUCAGCGUGAUCUCAGGCGUCGACCUCGCCGUACCUGCCAGCCAGUUCAAGAACAUUCUGCUCGGGCAGUACAGCCUUCUAGCCGACGCGGCGACUGCCUGCACCGCCAACGCACGUUGCAUGGGUUUCAAUGGCGACGGCUUGACGCUGACGGCCGUCAGCCCCAUGAUCCCCCUCGCAGGCUCCUGCCUGUACAUAAAAACCCUGCAGUCUGGGUAGAUGAUGUGCACUCUCUACCCGUACUACCCGCCCAGCGGCCCAGCCAGACAGCCGUACCCCACAGCAGUAGCACACGUACCGGUAUCGGUAGUAUUCAAACAACAACACUAAAUCUCGUUAAUCUGAUUUAUGAUUGAACUAUUGGUUACAUGGAUUUAUGACUGAUUGCUGCAUGCCUCUACUGAAUUAGCUACUCGAUUAGCUUGUUUGCUAGUCCAUUCGUCAGUUGCCAUUAUUCAAGGGUUGGCACCAUUCUGGCGGUACAACUGUUCAUAAGGUGGUUGGUUGGUCGGUUAGUCGGUUGGUUGGUUGCUGGAUGCAGCAAACAAGCUCUCAUCAGACGGCACCGGGGAGCGAGAGCGUCUGCUGGCUUGAUGAGUAGCAAGUCCUUUUUACAUACGUACCGCCCCUUCCACGAGGCAUUGGGUACGGCAAUGCUGGCAAAGGGGUGCUCGGCAACUAACCGCUCUCCGUCGUGAAGCCAGCUAGCCACUAGCUAGCGGGAGCAUAUGCUUUGCUACGUCUCCCAGUAGAUUUGUAGCGCAGGUAACACUGCCAUGAUGAUGUAUGUGCGAGUAGUGCGAUAAAGGUGGGCAAAAUAAAGCCACCAGCGUGUGCUUGCGUAUCCGUGUGUGUGUGUGUGCGCGUAUGUAUGCAUGUGUGUGUAUGUUAUGGUAGGUCUCUCUCUGCGUGUGCGAUAUUGCGCGCUGCCCCAGCAGCUUUCUGCACACAAGCUGUCAGCUAUCUCCGAGGUGAAGUCAUCUGGGGUAGGUGUUGCCAUGUACGGCAGCGCGCCAUAAGUUGUACAGCUUAUUUAGGUAGUUUGAUUAAUAUGCAAAGGCUUAUCCGCCUACUACGCAGUAUGUGCGCGCUCGAAAGCCCUUCAUCAAUUUGCGCCGUGCGCAUCAUCAUGUGCGUGACUGGCUUGUAAGGACUACGGCAGCAGGGACGGCCGGCAAGGGCCUUUGGGUUGUGCACGCAACCUCCUUGGCAUGAAUGGCGCAAUCUAGAUGAGCAACGUACUCAAUCGUAUCCUUCACCGGAUGGAGCGGGUGUCGCUGCUGAGCCUGAUGCCGGUCGUCUCAAUCACCUAUUUAUAGCUGUAUAAUGCGAGACAACGUAUUUAGUAUUAAAAGCCCAAGUGCCUCUGCUAGACUCUUUUGAUUUUAUGAAGCGCGCCUGAGUCGAUUACCAUUGUUGGGGCCUAGCAUCUACUGUGCUUGCUUAACCGUAGUGAGGUAUUGUCGGAAGAUUUUCAAAAAGCCCUUGGACCGCGCGGCAGGCAUCAGGGCCGCAUGUAAGGUGACACACAUAUACACGCAACCAACCAUUUAAGACGCACUUUUACGCCACACAAUUUUGCGCCAAGAUGGUUAUUAAGUAAGAGUGUUUGAGCAAAGGAAGCAAGUCGAAAUCUGAAUCAGCAGGCAAGGCGAAAAAAAUAUGACUAACUUAUCAGUUUAAUACGUACCUGUACACACAUAAAUACAACAAAAAAAGGCAUCGCUCCAGACCACGUAUACGUGUUGCAACCUGGAUCGAUGCCCAGCAGAUCAAAUAGCGCAUCUAUCCUUCAGAAGCCUCAAUUUAGCUUAUUAAUGGAGCGAAUCUCUGUUCAGUUGCUGGUAUGGUGCGAAAGUCCUAAUCAGGCGACCUAAGCAGGUUCAGCCUCGCGAACCCGCUGACACGGGUUCAGCAAACGGGUUCAGCAAGCGGUAACCGUACCGGUGCCGAUUUCCGGUAACCGAUUUCUGGGUUUAUAUGCGCGGGGCACACACCGCGCCAAAUGCCUAGCUCACAGCAACAUUGAAGGGAUAUCGCACGGCGGUGACGGGCACGGCAACCGGUAUCGAUUCACCACAAAGAUGCAGAACGUAUUGCACUUAUUGAGGCAGACAUUUGCGAGAGCUCCGCUGAGUGCGAAAACACCAUUAGUUCACAUUUACGGAUAUUAGGCCGUAUUAGGCCUGAGUCCGAAGAUCGAGCUACACUCACAAACAAUGUCUGUUUUCAACAAGGACUGCAUACAACGGCUAGAGGGGGCAACUAGUCUAAGGCCGUCCGCGUGCAGAGGCAUUGUAACAGGGGCGCCACUUACCUUACGAGAGGCGCCCUAAGGCGAACCAUCGGUGGUUCGCCUUACCUCGCCGAGAGGGAUAUCCCUCUCGGCAACCAUGUCAGCCAAAAUUUCAAUGAAAAGCCUGAACAUCUCCGUACUCAGGAGGCAACCACGUAACAAGGAUAAAAACAAAAUAUAUGAGCUGCCUGAUUAGGCCGGGGUCCAGGAUAUUAGCUGGCACCGGGCCAGCUGGCACCGGGCCAGCUGGCGCGCUGGCUCUACUCUUUGUAAGUCUUGGAGCCCUCUGAAACCACCACGCACAUACCGGGCACACUGAGCACUGUUUGGUCAUCCAUGGCCGUCUUAGGGCACGGAGCACGGGGUAAAACAGACCCACCCCGGCUCGGUUUACGCAUGCAUUUAUGGCUGGAUCCGCCGUGGGGUUGUGGGGCUGUGGCUGUGGCUGCGGCUGUGGCUGUGGCUGUGGCUGUAUGUGAGUCCUCCAGAUCCAGACUGGUACUUAUAGGCGAUCUGGCAGCCCUUGAGCCCUCGGCUCGUAUUGGGCGGUUUGCAGGUACGGGGAACGCACCCCACGACCAUGUAGCACACACACAUACACACAAAUACAGAGAGAGAGAGAGAGAGAGAGAGAGAGAGAGAGAGAGAGAGAGAGAGACCCAGACUAAAGGAAUGUGGAGAGGGCCGAAAUACUGCAUGCAUUCAGUCCGUCAAGUAUACUGAAGGGUGGGUGUCAUGCAGCCUUUUCCAAGCUGAAAUUGAUCUUAGCAGCGGUAUAUAACCAAGUAAGGGUGCGCACGUGUUUUUUUUAGCAAACACAAACCAGUUAACCCCUACUCAAGCACUGAUCGAAUAGAGUUCUUCACCAUCGUUCGUUUUGCAUCACGUUGAAAGAUAACACUACAAGACUUUCCAGAUUGCAAAAGCAAUGAUGCACAGCAGCAAUCAAACCAGAACCGCCAAACGCAACCUCUGCGGUUGGUUGCAGCCCCUGCUGUUGAUGCUGCAUGCUAGUUAGCGGUUCAUUAUGUACCGGCCCCUGCUGCUGACGGCCUUCCACUUCUCCAGUGCCACCUCAAAGGGGAACGUGUGCUGGUCGUAAAGGUCUUGCGUGAACAUGAACAUGCGCACGCGCAGUGCCAGGUGCUUGUCCAGCUGUCCGCUUGCGGACGUGCAGCAGCCUGAACAUGUCCUUAGCGACCUUGUAGUCGGUCAUGGUGCGGCCCACACCAGCUGCCAGAAGAGGAAGCGGAGCUGCUGCAGGCGGGCCUGCUCCACCUCGGAGUUACCGGGCCGGGCGUGAAGAGCUGCGCCAGGCUCUGCAUCUUUAGCUUCUGCAGUGCCAGUUCACCCUCCCGAAGCUGAGCUGCAUUGACAGCCUUCAUGUGCCCGGCGGAGGUAUCGUGUGAUGCAAGGGUCUCCCUCCGGCACUCAAUGACGUACUCGCGCCCUUUGUGCAGGGAGCAUGGGCCGCAGCGCACCAUGUCGUGCACCUCCCCCUUACUCACAUCCGCCGUAAUGCACUGCGCCCAUGUAAACAUAGCUCCAAAGUACAGCUGCCACUUGAGGGGAUGCUUGUCCUUCUUCUCCAGCCAUGCGCCGUCGCUCUGCCCCUUCACGACCCGCUGUGUCUGCGGUCGGGGCGGCUUUGUGCCGUGGAGUGUGGGGUUAGGUGUCUUAGCUGCAGCGCCGGGGUUGCUGCUGCCAUUGACCUCGACGCCCGUGUUUCCUGGCCCAUUGCGAUUGUCUUCAUAUGAAGAACGUUGACGUUUGGCCCGCUCGCUGUUGACAACCGGAGUGGCGUCAUUGUCGUCGGCUGGCUGCAGCAUUGCGUCCACAUUGCCUACGACCUCUUCGUUAACGUCGCUAAUGGCUUCAGUGAAGUUUAAUAUCUGCUUUAAUGGCCUGCCAUGCUUUGGGAGCUUCGGGUCCGAAUAUUUUGCAGCGUUUGGUCCGGUCAGAAACAGUCCGAUUCCUCGUUGACUUUCGGGCGUGACCUUCCUAACAGUUUCCAUGGCAUUAAAGUACUAUGAUAUGGUUAACAUAUAUGUCUCCUGUAAGAUCCUAGCGGCUUUGGCAUGGACAGUCCAUUUUUGGCUGGAGGAAUGAACUUGUACGGUUGGAACAUUAUAUGUGUGAAACAGGGGGGUGUAUCUUCGCCCGUGGCAGCUACCCUGCGAAACCCUGCCUUCCGCGGUAUUUCGGGCACCCUCAUCCAGUCACCCUAGUCAACUACUCAGUGGAUCGCUCAGGUUCCGCACCCACCACCAGCGUCCAACGGAAUCUGCCGGGUCGACAGCGGCCCAACUCUAUUCCUGGUGAGCUCGCAGGUUAACUUUAUCCCAGGUCACCACCGUCCAUCAACUAGGGGCGCAAUACCUUCCACCAUCGGAAGGAUUUUAGACCCUAACGGGUAUCGAUCCCGGGAUCUCCCGGGGGCAAUGGCCGCGCGUUACCAGUAGUGCCAAACCCUAGUAUAUGUAUCCUUAAUUUUCAGGACCGCGAACAAUUUCUUAUUCCGAAUUCGGAGUAUAUUCCGCAAAAAAAACGCUGUAUGUAUGUGCCAGCUAGCCUGGCAAUAUGCCAGCCAGCCUGGUACGCCCAUGUGGCACAUGGCGUAUGUGUGUAUGUGUGUGUAUGUGUGUGUAUGUGUGUGUAUGUGUGUGUAUGUGUGUGUAUGUGUGUGUAUGUGUGUGUAUGUGUGUGUAUGUGUGUGUAUGUGUGUGUAUGUGUGUGUAUGUGUGUGUAUGUGUGUGUAUGUGUGUGUAUGUGUGUGUGUAUCUGUGUGUGUAUGUGUGUGUAUGUGUGUGUAUCUGUGUGUGUAUCUGUGUGUGUAUCUGUGUGUGUAUCUGUGUGUGUAUCUGUGUGUGUAUCUGUGUGUGUAUCUGUGUGUGUAUCUGUGUGUGUAUCUGUGUGUGUAUCUGUGUGUGUAUGUGUGUGUGUGUGUAUGUGUGAGAUGUAUGUGUGUAUGUGUGUGUGUGUGUGUGUGAGAGAGAGAGAGAGAGAGAGAGUGAGUUACGUAAGUACCCUCUUACCUCGCACUUCAGACAAAGCAAGUGAUGAAGGAUACUAACGACCCAAGGGAACGAUAAGCGUUGCGGUGGGACCACAUACUUUCCAGCAUCUUCGCCAGACGUUCAGGUUCCCACUUUAUAACGUCCUUCAUAUGCUCAAAGCGUGUGAAAUCCAUAUCAGGUCUGAUUUCGCUGUACACCGGACAGUCCAGCAAGACGUGCUCUGACCGAUCGGAUGUGUGCUCCAGAUUUUGCCUUCAGGCCUUCAGGAUGCUCGCGGUAGGCACACGCGCCCACCAGUUAACAUUCCGCUCCUGCAACGGGAGCCACGUCAUCUAUGUAUGCGUGGGUUGCGGAAGCGCAUCGGACACGGAGCACAUGCAGGGGUGGUGCGACAGCAUCUCCUCCUUGGCAAGAACCCUCCAAACAACGGCAUGCGAGCAGGUAAAAUAUGACCGCGCAUUAAUGCAGGGUAAUUUACUUUUCGAUGCAGAAUAUGGCGAGCAGGAGAAGGGUUUCUCCAGGUUUAACUCCGUUUUUUACGAGCUCGUGCUGGAAGCGCCGUAGCAUCAGUGUCCGCUGCUUCGGCGGGCUUGUUCUGCUCAGGUUUAACUGGCUUGACGCACAUUGGACGAAUAAAUGGCAUAUAAGAGUUCAGUACCUAGGUUGUUUUGUGUAUCCACGAGCGCCGCGCGAAGGAAUGAUGAGUACUCGUAACCACUCGUCGCCCAUCACACGACACAUGCGCACCACCACCACCACACCAUCAAUACAAUCACCAAAUUCAAAGUCGCAAAUUAGGCUCACAGAGCUGUCGUGGCUCGGCAGCGACGUAUGUGCUGCAUGUCUGACUUGUUACGCAGCGUGGCACACGUCUCAUGCAAUUAGUUGCGUUUGUGGUGGGACGGCCUAAGAUACGUGGGUUAUGGCCUUGUAAACCUUUCUGUAUAGCGGAUGCCCAUUGAAUUAAGCUUGCAUUGUUUUUGAAGCAUUAUGUACAGCGGCCGAAUGCAUUGAGCGCGCCAUGCGCAUAGCGCGCUAGGGAGAUAUAAUUCAAUACAGAUAUUUGCGCAAGGUAUCAUAGCGUGCCUGCAUGGGCAUUACUGCAAUGUGCUGCAAGGCAUCUGCUGCUGCUGGCGCGCUGGGGCUAAGAUUUGGGUGAUGAAUGGGAUCAAAGUAUAAUUAUUCGUAAUUAAAUAAAUUCUGUUUUUUAUGUAUUGACGUCAAGGCUCAUCAUUAGCCCCUGCUGAGUUCUGCGCGAUAAACCUCCGAGCGGCAGCCGUAAGGAUCAACGUUGCACCGCGCCGUGCAGAACGAUUAAGCUCAUAUUAUUAUAAUAUAAUAAGACGAAUUGUUACAGCCACAGGUGCGCUGUUCUUUAAUGUCUGUCUGGAUUCAAAUAAUUUUGCUCAUAUACCCACAGGGACGUAACAUGGAUGCAAAAGGUCAGUCAAAGUUUUUAUUUAUUUAUCUAGAAUUAUCAGCGCUAAUUUAUGGAGAAUUUUGGGAAGGCUGCGUCGUGUGCAUGGGACGAUGUGGCAGGCGCCCGCCUCGUGCUUUUUUCUGACCUUUUCGGGAUACAUGACGGCUUCUACCGAGCAUGCGUAUAUUCGUCUAUGUGGAUGUAUGUUGCAGCUCGAAAUUACAGACGUCGCAGAGAUUAGCGGGACUGAGCUAGAGAAAAGCACUUGACGACUGUGAGAAAGAUGAGCUAAGUACGACUAAAACAGAAACAUGCAGGAAUAUAAAAGGAAAUGGGGCGAGUGAGCUAAUAACCUGGGAGCAAGAAAGUUUUAUUAAGGCUUCCAUUUCAUUGGUUAUUUCCCAACCUUCGACCUGGCUUACCAAGGUUCCGAUACCCGCGGCAUUACACAGCUCCAACUACAAGUAAGUGAGCGCAAUAUUCAAAAUACAAUUAUGCCGAAAUUUGUGAUGUGUCGUGCUGGGUUGGGAUCUUUGCAAGAGGAAUCCUCGUCUGUAUGAUAUGCUCCUCACGCACGGACUAGGCAGGGCGGAAACCAACUAUUGAAUCGACUCUCGAGUUUUAUUGUGCGAUCAAUUUACUUUACAAUUGCCUUGGCCUUGUCGUGUCUAAGACAGCGAGAAACGCGCCUAGCUGCUUGUUCCGUUAACGUAGCGCUGCGGCCCUCGGCACCCUGUAUCGUCCGCAGGGAGCUGUUUCUCAAGGGUCUGCUAAACGAUAGCAUCUGGCCACUGCUGCUGGCUUGUCGCCAUGACCCGGCCGCUGAGCCAAAUGUUCCCGCCGAUGCGGCUGCUGACGGUUUCGGUAUUCCUGUGCAUCAUUCAGAGCUCCGCAAUUCCCCCAGCUGAGGCUAUUGGACUUGGGCAGGAGCUAGGAGGUGAUAAUAGCCGUAGGCUAUCGAGCACUGACACGAUAAUGCAAGAUGCCCCUGCCGUUUCCCGUCGAGGUUGUUGGAACCGCCGGCACCGAGCUGGCAUGAUUUUUGCUGGUUGUUUAAUGCCGAUGCAGAUAACUCCGGAUCCAGCGAAUUUGUGCUUUCGGAUGGAGGGACGGCACGGAGGCAGCUACACCAAACCAGUAAGUUUCCUUCAUUCGUUCUGUCCAUCGGGCUUUUCACUUGUGAAGCGUGUGGAUUUGCAUGCGCAUCAGCAACCUUAGCUGUCUGCUUUGGCAUCCCCGAAAGUCUGCUUGCUGCUUGCAUAGAGGGUAGAGUGCAGUCCGUUCGUAAUUGUUCCUCCUGUUCCCUUGUUUCGGUUCGUAAGAACAGAGCCUUUGAUGUUUGUAUUCUCACAUUUUUUUGCCUUUACUUUGCCUUUACUUAGCGAGCUACGGUACUUAAAAAAAAUCGGUAUGGAUGGGUUGUUUUAGUUGUCUUCGCCAACAAUGGACGGAAUGCCGGGGCGGGUGCUUGACAUCCUGAGUCGUCGAUCCUGAUUCCUAAUCCUGCACGCGCAUAUAUCAUGCAGCGCGCAGCAUGCAUAUGCAUGUGUCAUCCGGCCAUCCUUUGUUCCUCCUUGCUCUGCCGCAGCCUGUAACAAGAACCUAGGCUACAAGGUGUACCCGGACAUGGAUCACGUAGGAGACACCAUUACAACCUCCAACAGACCGGCUACGCAGUGCACAAACGACGCUAACUGCGUCGCCUACAACUCUAACGGGCAACUAAAGCGGGCUUGGUCUCCCAUGACCAAAUCGACUGGGACUUGCCUGUACAUCAAGGAAGCUUUCGCGCCGACAGGUAAGAGGUGUCAACGGUGACGUUAUAUAAUACAUGCAUGGACUAAUACACCUUGCGCGUGCUAGCGGCGUCUGAGCAGUGUAGGUAAGAUGCUCCAGAUACAUCCGGAUCCUGCAGGUGGCGGCAAACCUGAUUACCUGUAAUAGCAAACCCACAGUUGGCAAACAACGUUUCUAUGUUGACCUUAGUGGCCGAUAGGGACUUAGACUGGUGACCAGAGGUCGGCAAAUAAGGCGGGUACUGCGGGUCCGCAGUACCACAGUAACCGCAGCCGAAAUUCGGCUUAAGCCCCCGUAAGGCUGCGGGUCUCUAAUGACCGAAAUUUGACCAAAAGACGUGAUUUGCGGCCUCUAUUGGGGCCCGUAGGGCCACGCGCUGAACUGGAACUCUGUGUUUGACUUUGAAUUGUUUUUAGGUUUACUGACCGAAAUUACGCCCUCCCGCAGCCGUAGAAACCGGUUUGCCGGCCUCUGGGCUGGACUAACGCCCCCGAUCUAGUCCAAUGGCAACACCGAAACGCAUACCGGUAUACAACGGGGGAAACGGGCAGGAGGCCCGAUUCCCGGCGCCGCUCACUGCAAAGACUUAAGAAACGAACAGCAAAUACAUAAAAAAAUUCGCGAAUAGUUGAUGCUCUAUACGUGAUGCGGAUGCCGUGAAGAGCUGUGGCAGAGGGCAGGUAAAACCCUAAGGAAACACUAUCUAACCUGUGCGACAACUCCAUACUUUUACUCGAUUGAAGCUAGAUGAUUCUAUUUGUACUGGUGUCUCUCCAAACGAGAAGUCUGAGCGCGAAAGGUGCGUCGGCUGUAAGUCACGGAAGUAAGGGUGUAUUUCCAGUGCGGAUUAAGGCCGGGGAUUAGGGCACGGAAGUCCUUGGUACGAGCUUAGCACAUAGUUUCGUUCCAUAAGGGAACCAAAGGUUGAAAAGGCGAGGUAAGUUUGCCAACAACUUAGCCGUUUGAGCACGUAUCGAUGGAGGACAGAGGGCUAAUCCCUGGCCUUAAUCCGCACUGGAAAUACACCCUAAAUGGAACAUACAGACGAGGAAAUGAAGAAGGCGGCGAUUAUCAAUCGCUGAGAAACUAAUGCUAACGCACAAAAAACGUCAACUCGCUCGAAACGGAACUCCUUGGCGGUUAUCGCGGAUCAUUUGAUGCAUUUGGUUGUCGAUGGCUCAGACUAUUUGCCGGACGGGUCAGGUGGGCCGGACUUAGACUAGGAAAUCUGACUCCUAGGUGUGUGUGGUUGUUACAGUGGGCUCCAGACUCACGAAGAGUAGAGCCAGCGGGCCAGCGGGCCGUGCACUGCACUAGAGACUAAUAUACAAACUAGACAAUCACCCAGAUGAGACAAGUAAUGGCAAUUAACCAGUCAAAACAGCGACCAAAGGGAAGGCUCAGGACCCCCAAUUAUUAUUGAAAUAGGCCUCAGCCUGAAAAGCCCUCCAAUUAAGAGAAUCAAAAAAGAAAAUAGGUGAUAGCUAAUUGUGUUGUGGGCGACGCGUAUACAUCGUCUUCCCGUCUUCCCUCCUGCAUUUCCCUCCCGCCUGUUGUGUGGACGUUCCUGACUUAUUCCUACGCUCCCAUGUGGUGUACCGCAGCUUGCGCCAGCUAUGAAGGUUACACUGCAUCGGCCGACGUGGACGUUCGCGGCAACAAUAUAUCCAAUCUCGCACUCGGAAAGGCAGCCACCCGCUGCUUAGCUGACCCAAAAUGCAAGGGCUUCAACAGCGCCGGGUGGCUAAAGAGCGCCCUGGCACCCUUGGUACAGUCCAGGGGAAUCUGUUUUUACACCAAGAUUGAUGAGUCGUCACCGCCGCCGCCGUCGUUAUCACCACCACCGCCGAAGUCGCCACCACCACCACCGCCGCCGUCGCCA
Molecule: long non-coding RNA, 11216 nt
Filed under: Volvox carteri
Lineage: Eukaryota; Viridiplantae; Chlorophyta; Chlorophyceae; Chlamydomonadales; Volvocaceae
Description: long non-coding RNA (VCAR_LNC000639)
Source: RNAcentral